AUAAGCCCUAACAAGGUGAGGUGUUUAUUGUGCUCCAAGGAGUUGGGGUACAAUAAUAACACCUCAUCCAUGCUAAGGCACUACUGUGCCUUGCAUGAGAAUAGGGAGGAAACUGGAGCUUCACCCAGCCAAGCCACCAGAAAACAAGAGCUGGAUGAAGCUCUAGUCUCCAUGAUAGUGAAGGAUACCCAGCCUUUCACUAUUGUGGAUGACGUUGGAUUCAGGACAUUUGUGUCUAAGCUGGAUCCCAAUUAUGUUCUCCCUACAAGGCAGGUAUGGUCCGUCCUGGUCCAGGUGAAAAAUCUGGACUCAAUGUAGCAGUGUGAUGUUAUUACACUAGAUUGUAAAGUGAGGAGCUAUUCCGUUAGGAAAUUAUAUGAGCACCGACAGCUUUUAUUUUGAAAAGACGACCAAUCCAUUUCAAAACAGUGGGUAACUUCCUGUCCCAAAAUUAUUAUCUUUAUUCAAAUUUAAUAUGUUGUGAAUAAAACUGUGAAUUAUUACCUUUAAUGUUUAACAUAUUGAGUUCAUAGAUUGUUGUUUAAAGUAUCAGUUCGAAAUUUAAAAAGAAAAGUUAUCGGGUCAUACCAUUAUAAUCUGUGAAAGGUUUUCCCACGCUCUCCGUCGCGCUCUUUCUGUUCGGAUUCCGUGGGAGAAGGCGCUGUGGAACACUGUGAAAAGAAAAGCCUGUUCUUGAUUACUAUUUUCUGCCAUUUGAAUGCAGGUAUGUGAUGUUUCAUUAUUAUUUUUGGUGGGAUUAUUUGGUUUAAUUAUUCUGUUUAAUUAUUUCUUUUCUUAUCCAUGUACUGUUUAAGAUUAUUAU
Molecule: long non-coding RNA, 823 nt
Organism: Xiphophorus couchianus (Monterrey platyfish)
Lineage: Eukaryota; Metazoa; Chordata; Actinopteri; Cyprinodontiformes; Poeciliidae
Exons: 4
Source: RefSeq, a predicted model, not a curated record